Molecule: small RNA, 91 nt
Filed under: Escherichia coli
Lineage: Bacteria; Pseudomonadati; Pseudomonadota; Gammaproteobacteria; Enterobacterales; Enterobacteriaceae
Also listed under: 2 other names
Description: partial RtT sRNA
Rfam family: RtT RNA
About the family: This family represents a bacterial cis-regulatory element known as RtT RNA.
Source: RNAcentral
UGCAUCUGCAGCCCAUGAGGAUGAGAACCUCCGGGGGCAGGGAGGUUCGACUCGAGCGAAGCGAGAGAACGUUGCGCCAGCAACGGCCCGC